GCCGAGGUGGUGAAAUUGGUAGACACAAGGGACUUAAAAUCCCUCGACUGGAAACAGUCGUGCCGGUUCGAUUCCGGUCCUCGGCA
This 86-nucleotide transfer RNA is filed under the name Spirochaetales bacterium. RNAcentral's name for it is "tRNA-Leu". It matches the Rfam family "tRNA". Rfam says of the family: Transfer RNA (tRNA) molecules are approximately 80 nucleotides in length. Their secondary structure includes four short double-helical elements and three loops (D, anti-codon, and T loops). Lineage: Bacteria; Pseudomonadati; Spirochaetota; Spirochaetia; Spirochaetales. The record is from RNAcentral.